GAACGUACGCUGGCGGCACGCCUAACACAUGCAAGUCGAACGAAGUAGCAAUACUUAGUGGCAGACGGGUGAGUAACAUGUAGGUAUCUGCCCUUUGGCCUGGAAUAACACGAGGAAACUUGUGCUAAUACCGGAUAAGUCUUUACGGAGAAAGCUUUAUGCACCAUUGGAUGAGCCUGCACUUGAUUAGUUUGUUGGUGGGGUAAUGGCCUACCAAGACUGUGAUCAAUAGCUGAUUUGAGAGGAUGAUCAGCCACAUUGGGACUGAGACACGGCCCAAACUCCUACGGGAGGCAGCAGUGGGGAAUCUUGCACAAUGGAGGAAACUCUGAUGCAGCGAUGCCGCGUGAGUGAAGAAGGCCUUUGGGUUGUAAAGCUCUUUCGUCGGGGAAGAAAAUGACUGUACCCGAAUAAGAAGGUCCGGCUAACUUCGUGCCAGCAGCCGCGGUAAUACGAAGGGACCUAGCGUAGUUCGGAAUUACUGGGCUUAAAGAGUUCGUAGGUGGUUGAAAAAGUUAGUGGUGAAAUCCCAGAGCUUAACUCUGGAACUGCCAUUAAAACUUUUCAGCUAGAGUAUGAUAGAGGAAAGCAGAAUUUCUAGUGUAGAGGUGAAAUUCGUAGAUAUUAGAAAGAAUACCAAUUGCGAAGGCAGCUUUCUGGAUCAUUACUGACACUGAGGAACGAAAGCAUGGGUAGCGAAGAGGAUUAGAUACCCUCGUAGUCCAUGCCGUAAACGAUGUGUGUUAGACGUUGGAAAUUUAUUUUCAGUGUCGCAGGGAAACCGAUAAACACACCGCCUGGGGAGUACGACCGCAAGGUUAAAACUCAAAUGAAUUGACGGGGACCCGCACAAGUAGUGGAGCAUGUGGUUUAAUUCGAAGAUACGCGCAGAACCUUACCAACACUUGACAUGUUCGUCGCGACUCUAAGAGAUUAGAGUUUUCGGUUCGGCCGGACGAAACACAGGUGCUGCAUGGCUGUCGUCAGCUCGUGUCGUGAGAUGUUGGGUUAAGUCCCGCAACGAGCGCAACCCUCACUUUUAGUUGCCAUCAUUAAGUUGGGCACUCUGAAAGAACUGCCAGUGAUAAGCUGGAGGAAGGUGGGGAUGACGUCAAGUCCUCAUGGCCCUUACGUGUUGGGCUACACACGUGCUACAAUGGUAUCUACAACAGGAAGCAAGACUGCGAAGUUAAGCAAAUCCCUAAAAGAUACCUCAGUUCGGAUUGCACUCUGCAACUCGAGUGCAUGAAGCUGGAAUUACUAGUAAUCGUGGAUCAGCGUGCCACGGUGAAUGCGUUCCCGGGUCUUGUACUCACCGCC
Molecule: ribosomal RNA, 1320 nt
Filed under: uncultured Alphaproteobacteria bacterium
Lineage: Bacteria; Pseudomonadati; Pseudomonadota; Alphaproteobacteria
Description: bacterial SSU rRNA
Rfam family: Bacterial small subunit ribosomal RNA
Source: RNAcentral